UACGAGAGGCCCAAACGUUAUUCGGAAUUACUGGGCUUAAAGAGUUCGUAGGCGGCAUGAAAAGUAGGGUGUGAAAGCCCUCGGCUUAACCGAGGAAUUGCGCUCUAAAUUGUCGUGCUUGAGGAACCUAGAGGUGAGCAGAACAGAUGGUGGAGCGGUGAAAUGCGUUGAUAUCAUCUGGAAUACCGGAGGCGAAGGCGGCUCACUGGGGGUUUUCUGACGCUGAGGAACGAAAGCCAGGGUAGCGAACGGG
RNAcentral lists this ribosomal RNA (253 nucleotides) under uncultured bacterium. Its description in RNAcentral is "partial 16S ribosomal RNA". It matches the Rfam family "Bacterial small subunit ribosomal RNA", at positions 524 to 776 of the family's 1533-position model. The record is from RNAcentral.